RNAcentral lists this long non-coding RNA (565 nucleotides) under Ixodes scapularis (black-legged tick). Its description in RNAcentral is "uncharacterized LOC115314987, transcript variant X1". Lineage: Eukaryota; Metazoa; Arthropoda; Arachnida; Ixodida; Ixodidae. The record is from RNAcentral.
CCCAAAACUCGGGUGUACUACCACGUGCUUUGAUAUCUGGGGGUUCCGUGACUGGGACAACUGGGGUUUCUUGUGGAAAGACCUUCGGCAUUUUCCUAUUGAAACCAGACGUGGCUGUCGAGAUUCAGUCGAUUCGUUCUUUAGCGGCGAUUAAGCGUCUGUUCGUCAUGACUUCUGGAUUGACGGUCAUCCUCCCGAGGCAAAGCAGCCCGCGGUGGACGUGCCGAGGUUCUGCGGGAAAGAACAAGGAUGCCCGGGAGACGAACACUUUCUGCAGGAGCCACAAGGCAGGCCAUGGUUUCAUCGAACAGCCGGGAGUGGAGCGGGAUGCUGAAGGAUAGCGGCGCUCACUUCAGUGAGCCCAGCUUGAACCCCACCAUUGGCGUCCUGGGCACCACUCUGAAUAAGCUGCUUCAGUUGUGACUUGUAGCACAAAUUUCCUGUCACCCAGUUCAUCGUCAUCUCGGAACCAAGGGCAUUGGUCCUGCCUGCUAGUUACCACUUGAAUAAAAGUUGGAAUGGUGCAGUGUGUUUGUGUAAAUAAACUGUUGAAGUUGUGACAGUA